AUUUGAAGGUUAAUGGCGAUGAAAUCUGCUGGAUAGGUGUUGUUGGCGUGAAUGCCUCCGACUUUAGCGGCAGCGAGGAUAACGAAUCGAGGUUUUUCAUUAGCAAAGAACGAUUCGACAUCGGAUUGGCGAGUUAGGUCAAGCUCUGAGUGGGAACGAAGAAGGAGAUUCGUGAAUCCAAGCUGCUGGAGCUUGCGAACAAUGGCGGAACCGACGAGGCCACGGUGACCGGCGACGAAGAUCUUCGCCGAUUUAUCGAAGAGGAACGAGGAUCCCGAUGAAGCGUUGUCGGCGGCGCCGCCCAUCGUCGGAG
RNAcentral lists this unclassified non-coding RNA (313 nucleotides) under Hevea brasiliensis (rubber tree). Lineage: Eukaryota; Viridiplantae; Streptophyta; Magnoliopsida; Malpighiales; Euphorbiaceae. The record is from RNAcentral.